UACGUAGGGCGCAAGCGUUAUCCGGAAUUAUUGGGCGUAAAGAGCUCGUAGGCGGUUUGUCGCGUCUGCCGUGAAAAUCCGGGGCUCAACCCCGGACUGCGGUGGGUACGGGCAGACUAGAGUGUGGUAGGGGAGACUGGAAUUCCUGGUGUAGCGGUGAAAUGCGCAGAUAUCAGGAGGAACACCGAUGGCGAAGGCAGGUCUCUGGGCAUUAACUGACGCUGAGGAGCGAAAGCAUGGGGGAGCGAACAGG
Molecule: ribosomal RNA, 253 nt
Filed under: uncultured bacterium
Lineage: Bacteria
Description: partial 16S ribosomal RNA
Rfam family: Bacterial small subunit ribosomal RNA
Source: RNAcentral